AAUGCACUCAAACCAAGCCCUUACGAGAACUUGACUCAUAAUCCCGGCUCAAACAAGACUUGAUUAAGUUAAAGUCACAAAGAACAUAUUCGUAACAUCCAUAGAUAUAUUCAAAAUAGAGCAUGAUAAAGCGAGCAAACUGAAACAUGGGAUUGAAUGAGCGACAAGACCGAUCACACAACAAUCAUUUUGAUUCAGCCUCGAGAUUAGAAAA
This 214-nucleotide long non-coding RNA is filed under the name Solanum tuberosum (potato). RNAcentral describes it as "long non-coding RNA (STUB_LNC005951)". Lineage: Eukaryota; Viridiplantae; Streptophyta; Magnoliopsida; Solanales; Solanaceae. The record is from RNAcentral.